AACGCAUCUUGCACUCUCGGGUAUUCCCGAGAGUAUGUCUGUCUGAGUUUCAUUUGAACUCUCAAGGUCUCUUUCCCUUCAUCGGGUAGGGGUACUUUUGGAUCGUGGGCGUUUGCCGGCCUUGCCUGCUCGCCUCAAAUCAAAUGUGGUGGUCUUCUCUGAAGCCGUUGUCGGGUUUGACCCAGAGUGAUAGAAGUCUUUCGAGAUCUCUGGGGACUGCCUUAGGGUGGCCUGCUUUGGUGGGAGGGAUCGCCUAGUUAGACUCAUCUGACGUUUUUGAACUCAGAUCAGGCAGGACUACCCGCUGAACUUAA
This 314-nucleotide unclassified non-coding RNA is filed under the name uncultured fungus. RNAcentral's name for it is "partial contains 5.8S ribosomal RNA, internal transcribed spacer 2, and large subunit ribosomal RNA". Lineage: Eukaryota; Fungi. The record is from RNAcentral.